This 316-nucleotide ribosomal RNA is filed under the name uncultured eukaryote. Its description in RNAcentral is "partial 18S ribosomal RNA". It matches the Rfam family "Eukaryotic small subunit ribosomal RNA", at positions 1470 to 1796 of the family's 1831-position model. The record is from RNAcentral.
CCCUUAGAUGUCCUGGGCCGCACGCGCGCUACAAUGGUACGUUCAACAAGUCACCUGGCCUGAAAAGGAAUCGGGUAAUCUUUUUAAUACGUACCGUGCUUGGGAUAGAUCUUUGCAAUUAUAGAUCUUGAACGAGGAAUUCCUAGUAGGCAUAAGUCAUCAGCUUGUGCCGAUUACGUCCCUGCCCUUUGUACACACCGCCCAUCGCUCCUACCGAUUUCGAGUGAUAAAGUGAACCUUCUGGACCGGGAGGAUUUAAAUCAUUUCCGGGAAGUUAUGUAAACUUUAUUACUUAGAGGAAGGAUAAGUUGUAACA